RNAcentral lists this ribosomal RNA (459 nucleotides) under uncultured bacterium. RNAcentral's name for it is "partial 16S ribosomal RNA". It matches the Rfam family "Bacterial small subunit ribosomal RNA", at positions 338 to 795 of the family's 1533-position model. The record is from RNAcentral.
CCUACGGGUGGCAGCAGUGAGGAAUAUUGGUCAAUGGGCGGGAGCCUGAACCAGCCAAGCCGCGUGAGGGAAGAAGGUACAGCGUAUCGUAAACCUCUUUUGUCAGGGAACAAAGGCGGGGACUAGUCCCCGGAUGAGGGUACCUGAAGAACAAGCAUCGGCUAACUCCGUGCCAGCAGCCGCGGUAGUACGGAGGAUGCGAGCGUUAUCCGGAUUUAUUGGGUUUAAAGGGUGCGCAGGCGGCCUGUUAAGUCAGCGGGAAAAGCCCGGGGCUCAACCCCGGCGAGCCGUUGAAACUGGCGGGCUGGAGUUGGAGAGAAGUACGCGGAAUGCGCGGUGUAGCGGUGAAAUGCUUAGAUAUCGCGCAGAACCCCGAUUGCGAAGGCAGCGUACCGGCUCCACACUGACGCUGAGGCACGAAAGCGUGGGUAUCGAACAGGAUUAGAUACCCCAGUAGUC